RNAcentral lists this long non-coding RNA (1033 nucleotides) under Felis catus (domestic cat). RNAcentral's name for it is "lncRNA (ENSFCAG00000053275.1)". The record is from RNAcentral. Lineage: Eukaryota; Metazoa; Chordata; Mammalia; Carnivora; Felidae.
AUGGUCAAAAAGGGGCGUGUCAGGGGAGAAAAACAAAUUAAAAGCUGCAUGUUGUCAGGCAGGAUAAAAAAAAUAAAAAAAAAAAAGCAAGAGCCAAUUAUAACGUGCCUGCAAGAAACGUCCUUGACCGGUGAACACACAGGACGUCAAGAAAGUGCCAGAGUAGGGGCUCCCAGAAUCCCUCCCUCCACCGGAGCAACCAAUAAGCCGGCCACAAGGAACAGAAGCAACUGUUCUGGAACUCUGAGACGAAUGAGAAAACUCACAGGAACGGGCGUCUGUCCGCCCACCGUCCAGUUCCAUGACCGUGGAGACGGCAGGCUGUGGUCGUGGUGUGGCUUGUCGGAGGGAAGGGGAGGGGGUGUGUGCAAUGCAGACAGCGUGCUUCGAGAGUUUGUCGUUUUGUGUUGCGACCUGCUUGGUGGCUCUGGGAAGGAAUGGCUCAGCCACCUUGGUUUUGCAAGCGCCCCCCCCUCCGGUUGGGGUGCCAUUCUGGGUGGCGUCUGUUGAAAGCGUUUAGAAAGGCACACUAUGCAAAGCUGCUCUGGAGAAAGCGAGGGCAGAGGGGACAAGCAGAGGACGGGUCCUGAGCCCCGAGAAGGAGGAGACUGAAGGGGAACGUUCACAGGGAGAGAGCUUGGAAGGGGAGGAGGGGCGGUUAAUUUGAGGGGUUGACUUGUCUAAGCGACCUGUGUCCAGGUAUUAAUUUGGUCAAGCACCAGUCUGGAUAUUACUAGAAGGUAUUUUUUAGAUGAGACUAACAUUUAAAUCAGUAGAUUUGAGGCAAAUCGGGAUACCCUCCCUACAGAAUGUGGUGGGUGUCAUCCAAUCAGUAACAAAAUUCUGCCCCAGACUGCCUUUGGGCUGGAACUGUGACAAGUCUUCCCUGCGGCUCCAGCCCAGCGGCUCCCCCUGCAGAACUGGGACUUGUCAGUCCCCACCGCGGGGUGAGCCAGUUCCCUAAAAUUUCUCUCUCUGUCUCACCCUCUCCAGAUGCCCUUUGUUCCGUUUCUCUGGUGAACCCUGACCAAUC